AGAAAACAUGGCUUGUUGGAAACUCAGAAGACUUGCCUGCUUAGCGGUGCUAAAAAACCACGCCUGAGCCCACUGUCGGUUUACAUCUGAGACUUACAGGGAAGACCUGGGUCUCACCUGAGGCCCCAUCUGUUCUUGAGGCAACACCUGGGUUCUUUUCAACACUCAAUAGACAGGCAUCCUCCACCUACCUAUGCCCAAAAGGCGAUGACUGAAAGGGUAUGCAGAAAAGAUGGAGACUGUCUGCCUCGAUCCCAGUGACAGAACAUCAGUUCUGGCUAUUACUUUUCCAUUCUUGGUUUCCAGUGAUUACUUAGUCAGAUGGCUCAGACAAUGGCGGGAAUGCUGUGGACAGUGGAACAAUACGAUGUAGCGAGGAGACUUCUCACUCAGCAGAGAGGUGUUAGGGAGGACUGCAGAACAAGCUCCAGUGAUCCUUUGUGAAGGUAGCAGUCUGGUGGUCUGGAAAGGCAAGUAGUCUUCCAUGCUGAUCCCAGCGUCAAGGUCACUGUGUGACCUUGGCAAGUUACUUUCCUUCUUGAAGCCUCAGUUUUUUGUUUUUUAAAAGAUUGGCACCUGAGCUAACAGUUGUUGCCAAUCUUUUAUUUUUUUCUGCUUUUUCUCCCCAAAUCUCCCCAAUACAUAAUUGUAUAUUUUAGUUGUGGGUCCUUCUAGUUGUGGCAUGUGGGAUGCCGCCUCAACGUGGCCUGAUGAGCAGUGCCAUGUCCCUGCCCAUGAUCUGAACCAGCAAAACCCUAGGCCGCUGCGCUGAAGCAGAGCAUGCGAACUUAACCACUUGGCCACAGGGUUGGCCCAGAAGCCUCAGUUUUUUAAUAUGCUGGAGAUAAUAAUACCAAUUUCAUAGAGUUGUUAGAAUUAUUAAAUGGUAAAAUCAUGAUAUGCAAAUAUAAAAUGAACAUGUGUCAAAAGUUUUAUAUACUCAUUAAUUACCAAGGGAACCAAUAAGAUGAUACAGCUGGGUUAAAGGAAAAUUCAAAGAACCACAUAUGAUCCAGGCAAUAAAAAAUGCCAAAAUGAAUUUUAAAAUAGGUGCAAACUAAGUUUAUCUACAAGGCAAUAAUCAAUUGCAUUCCACUAGGCACAUUUCAUUUGCGUUUCAGUAAGCAAAGUUAUUUGCAUCAGUUAUGUUAUCAGUUUUCUUAAUCUUACAGCGUUGUAGAAUAGCUCAAAAAAUUUUAACCCAGAUCAUGCCUAGUUUUUCAUUGAAGAUAUGCAGUAAUCUUUUUGGUCCAUUUCCGAGUCUUUCUCACAAUUUUCCUGCUCUUAAUUAGAGAUAAUGCAUACAGAGUGCUUGGCACAGUGUAAGUGCUCUAUAAAUGCUAGCUAUUAUAAAAAAAAAAUCACUGAAAUUCAUAGUAAUAACAAAAAUUGUUUGCACUGCUGGCAGAGUUAUCUCCCUGAAGUAAAGCUUUGGUUGUGGUACCUAGUCAAAAACUCCAGUGACUCGUCAUUGUCUUCGAAAUAAAUUCCACUCUUCUUA
Equus caballus (horse) is the source of this 1501-nucleotide long non-coding RNA. NCBI's taxonomy places the organism in Eukaryota, Metazoa, Chordata, Mammalia, Perissodactyla, Equidae. The record is from Ensembl.